Molecule: ribosomal RNA, 258 nt
Filed under: uncultured bacterium
Lineage: Bacteria
Description: partial 16S ribosomal RNA
Rfam family: Bacterial small subunit ribosomal RNA
Source: RNAcentral
AGCGAACGCUGGCGGCAGGCUUAACACAUGCAAGUCGAGCGGGCGUAGCAAUACGUCAGCGGCAGACGGGUGAGUAACGCGUGGGAACAUACCUUUUGGUUCGGAACAACACAGGGAAACUUGUGCUAAUACCGGAUAAGCCCUUACGGGGAAAGAUUUAUCGCCGAAAGAUUGGCCCGCGUCUGAUUAGCUAGUUGGUGAGGUAACGGCUCACCAAGGCGACGAUCAGUAGCNGGUCUGAGAGGAUGAUCAGCCACU